GAUGAACGCUGGCGGCGUGCUUAACACAUGCAAGUCGAACGGAGAGCUCAUGACAGAGGAUUCGUCCAAUGGAUUGAGUUUCUUAGUGGCGGACGGGUGAGUAACGCGUGAGGAACCUGCCUCGGAGUGGGGAAUAACAGUCCGAAAGGACUGCUAAUACCGCAUAAUGCAGUUGUGUCGCAUGACACUGACUGCCAAAGAUUUAUCGCUCUGAGAUGGCCUCGCGCCUGAUUAGCUAGUUGGCGGGUAACGCCACCAAGGCGACGAUCAGUAGCCGGACUGAGAGGUUGGCCGGCCACAUUGGGACUGAGACACGGGCCCAGACUCCUACGGGAGCAGCAGGUGGGGAAUAUUGGGCAAUGGGCGCAAGCCUGACCCCAGCAACGCCGCGUGAAGGAUGAAGGCUUUUCGGGUUGUAAACUUCUUUUAAUCAGGGACGAAUCCAGUGACGGGUACCUGAUGAAAUAAAGCCACGGCUAAAC
RNAcentral lists this ribosomal RNA (482 nucleotides) under uncultured bacterium. RNAcentral describes it as "bacterial SSU rRNA". It matches the Rfam family "Bacterial small subunit ribosomal RNA", at positions 28 to 502 of the family's 1533-position model. The record is from RNAcentral.